AAAGAGAGAGAGAGAAUAGUCGAAAGAGAAGAAAGCAUAAGCCACACAGGAGCAGAACAAAAGAAGAAGAAAAGGGUGUUUGGUGGCUUCAAACUGAGAGAAAUCAAAUCGUAGCCGUUGAAUCGUAUUUCUCUCAAUCAGACGGUUUACAUCUCUGUAUUGAUAUCUUCUUUCUCAGGUGGUGAAGAUAAAGAAAGGCGGUGUACUGGUUGCCGUAAAAAGAGAGACAGAGGCGUGAUCUCUCAGAUCUGGCCGUUUG
RNAcentral lists this long non-coding RNA (259 nucleotides) under Nicotiana benthamiana. RNAcentral's name for it is "long non-coding RNA (NBEN_LNC033657)". Lineage: Eukaryota; Viridiplantae; Streptophyta; Magnoliopsida; Solanales; Solanaceae. The record is from RNAcentral.